UGGGAGUGGAUGCUGAAAUAGUUCUCCAGUUGUUUGCCUGGGAUUCCAGAGCCUUCCUUCAGGUUAUAUAGGCACUGCUUUGGAAACAUUUAUAUGGACAAUGUAAUGUUUACACCUCUGAGGGAGAGGUUUAUGCCAGGACAAAGAGUACAACCACAACUUCCUGGAGAGAGAGAAAAGGAUACAGUUUUAUUGCAACUCCAUUGCCAUGCUCCAUGCACGCAGUCCUCAAUAUCAAUAUGACUGCACUCUGAGCCUUGGCAAGAGCAGAGAGAGAGAUAUCAAUUGGAUUGCUUUAAGGACAACACCCUGAAGAACUCCAGUUAGUGAUGGAGAAGACUGGGAAGGAGGAGGCUGAAGGAUAUGGAAACUGAAGGCAUUGAGAAGAAAGGAAAGGUAACGUCUUUGUGCCUCAUAGCUUUAUUAGGUUCCCAUACAGCCAGGGAACAGAAACGAUGCUAUACUAAGGUGACCAGCUGAAUGCAAAUGUGAAUAGUCUUCAUGUAACCCAUGAAUGGAAAUGUUUUCCCCAAUUAUUCUAUGAAUUCUUUAGAAACCAGAAUAUGUAGAUUACUAGAGUUUUUAGUAACCAGGUUCACUUCUUUAACUAUUUACCAAACAAAAAGGAUGAAAACUAUGACUAACAUUAGUUGCAACCUAUAAUUUGACUAGAUUUACUGCCAAUAAGCAAGAAAAUGAAAUUGUAUAGUCAAUUAUUUUUGUCAAAAAGGAAACUUAUUUUUUAAGAUUCUUUAUUUGAACAAUAUAAGGUAUGUGGACAUGUAUAACAAAUACGUAGAAAAUGACACAAUCCUUGAAUUAUGAAAUCACAGACCAAAAAAUUCCCUUGGGUUUACAAGUUAGCCACAAAUUACCUACAUCAGUAUAAUUUUCAACCUUUUUUAAACUAAAGGCACUCUUCAGAAAAUGCCAGCUCUUAUCUUUCACACAUUUCUUGACUAUAAUAGAAGUAUAAUAGAGCAAUUCUUCUGUUGCAAAGAACUCAGACCACAGCAGGUCAGAAUGUUCUUGAUACUAUGGAUUCCUAUUUGAAUCAUUAGGUUUAUUUUGUGAAUCAUGUAGAUGUUUGCACACCUAAUAAUCUCUUGGCACCCUUAAAAGGAUUUCCUAGCACCCCAGGGUAUCACUGCACCAUGGUUGAGGAUCACUGGUUUAGAUGCUCAAUGAUAUUUUAAAAUUUGAAAUAACAUCAAAGGAAACAAACAAAACCUACCUCCAAAAGUCCUGCUUACUUAGUCCUGAAAUAGGAAAUAAAGACCCAAGAGUAGGACUCAUGUCAGAAAUAUAUUUUUAGAGAAGCUGGUUUUCAAGAGAACAUGGUGUGUCUACACAUUCAAUUAAUGCACAUUAAGGUUACUGUGCACUGCAGUACCUUAAGGCACAUUAACACAUGGCCAGGAAUGUGUCUACAUGUGCUCCCAUGGAAGCAAUUCAAUGAAGGGCUGCUCCAGUCCUGCUCUGCCCCCUGCAGCAGCCAGGGGGAGCUCCAGGCUCCCCCAGGUGCCAGACGCAGGCUGGCAGGGGGCACAGGGGUCAGGCCUGAUCUCGGGGGGGGGGGUGUACUGUCCCACUUCUGGGGCAGCUCCCUGCCAGCCCCAUGCAAAUCGGGGCUCACUGAUCGGCACGGGAUGGGCAGGACUGCACAGUUAAUCUAGUACCUGUAUUUCUUGAUACUAGGAAACCAUGCAUUAGUUUAAUUUACUAUGCAAUAAAUGCACACAUGUAGAUGUGCACAGCACUUUACUGUGCAAUAAAGUGUCUUGUGUAGACGUACCCACUGUUGCCUUCUGUCAUUUCUUAUUGUUGUGCUGAAUUAUCCCUCUCUCAGUCUGAUUCUUUGGAAUGUGUUGUUAUGAAAUUAAAAAUUGUUGCUGCCAAUAAUUGAUUCUAUAUAUCAAAUAAAUACUGGCAUGGCAUGGCAUGAGGCUCCCUGGUAAUAUUACCAGCAUUUUAUUUUCUUUGGGUAGAUACUGCAUUAACUACUUAGAACUAAGUCCUCUGAUCAAGUCAGAAUAGUCAGAACAAGAUUAUGGAUGGAAAGGCAGAGCCUUAAGCUAUUUUUACACUCUGGGCCUUAGUUCAAAUAUUCUCAACCACAGUGUCAGGGUGCCUUGGGAUGUCACAAGAUCUUUUGAAGGGUGGCGCGAAGUGUGAGGAGAUAAGCAGGUGUGAAAGAUAAAUUCAGAUUUAGGCUUGUCCCUUCCUGGCUGCUGCUCUGCCCCCACUGCCUGGCCCCUCUGCAAGGAGGUAAGUGUCACAACCCAGUGAUUUUGGUGCCUCGGCACGAUGGAAUUUUCUUGCCACGAGAGCCUCUUGCACAGCGA
This is a long non-coding RNA of Alligator sinensis (Chinese alligator), 2345 nucleotides long. RefSeq lists it as uncharacterized. The record is from RefSeq and is a predicted model, not a curated record. The transcript has 4 exons. Lineage: Eukaryota; Metazoa; Chordata; Crocodylia; Alligatoridae.